Diospyros lotus (date-plum) is the source of this 1915-nucleotide long non-coding RNA. RefSeq lists it as uncharacterized. The record is from RefSeq and is a predicted model, not a curated record. The transcript has 3 exons. Lineage: Eukaryota; Viridiplantae; Streptophyta; Magnoliopsida; Ericales; Ebenaceae.
CGUAGAGGAGAGAAAUGUCGAGAGGGUGGACCGAUCAGCCGCCGUCGCAGACGCAGCGGCAGAUCAUGCGGACUCAGAUGAUUCGAUAGUGAGGUGGUGCCCUCGUCUAUUGUAGAGAUUACUCCCAUUCUCCGUGUUGCCAAUGAAGUUGAAAAAGCCAACCCUAGGGUCUCUUAUCUCUGACUGGAGCUGAAGGAAGCAUGAAAAAAUGGCUGGAAGUUCUGAAUAUUUGCAUUAAACCAGAUCAGCCAAGUAUGUAAUGAUUAAGUUGGAUAUAAGUGCCUAGAGUGAAGCAGCUUUCUGAUUGCCACUGAUGCAUGUUGAUCUUCAGUAAGUGCUACUUUAACCUUAUUGCGUAUGUCCUAGGAAAAAUAUGCGUAAAUAUAUGGUUCAAAUUUGCAAAGUUUCAAAAAGAAUAAAAUUUUGGAGAUGUGAGAUGGAGGGUGAAAGUUGCUGUCAAAACAUUUUCCUGCUGGAAUUGGCAAUUUUCUAGCAGCCAAAAUUCAGGGGUAAUAUGGUGGCAUUACACGCUUUGGAAAAUCCUGAAAAAUAGUUUGUACUCCCAAAAUACUUUCACAUAUUCAAGACAUAGUUCAUACUCCCAAUUUUUCGAGCGGAGCCAAGGCUACAAGUUUAAACAAUUUUGGGCAUAGCAAGGGCUGACCACUUGACUUCUGAGUGAAUUGCUAAAGUUCAAUGCCAUGUGAAAUAAUUUAUUUGUUAAAAAAGAAAUUGAUUUUUUUUUUGUAGUAGGAUAAUCACAUCAAUAAUGGGCAGCGGGCGAUUAAGCAUGCUUAGCAUUUGAGGCCAUAAAAUAUACCUUCUUGAGGGAUGUCUUUUAGUUAGUAUAUAUUUAUAUGGCACUUAUUUAUUCAUUGCCCAGAAACCUUUCUUUUCAAAGUAAUGCUCUUAAGUUUUAGGCUUUUGUCCGCGAAAACUAUGGAGGAACCUUGCUUAUCACAGAUAGGAAGGACUAGUGUUUCUAAUCUUAUGAAUCGAUUGCUUCGGUAAGCUCAUUUAACUUUUCAAGAGGCCUGAUUUAUUUGUAACUGCGUUAUUGUUUUGUUGCUACAUCUGAUUGAAUUGAUGAUAACUUGAUGUUUUUAGCAUUGUCGUUGACAUUUUCUACACGUGGACUCAUGCUUAUUAUCCUGUGCAGUGUAUGCUCUGAGAACAAGUUUCUUCACCCAGUAAUGCUUUGUGAUAAUUUGGAUUGGAAUUGUAUUCUGGUCACCAGUUUGGCUUGAGGGAUUGGGUAUUUGAUCAUCAAUCCAAGGGCAUUACUUUUCUUGUUUCCCAAGAAAGGAGGGGUGUUCGUUUUUGUUCUAAUUUGCCCUUAGCACGUAAGCUGAACAUCAUUGGUGAGAAUUGUGCUUUUAAUUGUGUUUUCAUCAUAGUUGUUCCAUAUGUUUAGCUUGCUAGUUUGGUUGUAGCUUGUGGGGAAAUUAGGCCCUCUGCGAAAGAUAUCUGCCUGAAAUAUAUUUCUUCUAUCGAUUUUGUUGUUUUUGGGUUUGGGAAGGAACUACUUUGCUUUAUGCCUAUAAUACAAACAGGACAUGCAAUUUGAUUUCUUCCCUCUUUUUGUCCUCCAUCUGAAAGUAGUGGGUCCCACAUUUUCAAUAACACAAUCACCAGGAUUAAUCCCACUAGGCGGGUCAAUUACAUGAAUUUUUGAUCUUCAACCAUCUUUAUACAAUGGCCUUUCUCUCUCUAAGGCUAUUAUAUCUUAUGUCAUGUCGAAAGGUUUCACACCAACUUUACCUUUGUUUUCUUCCACUACUUUUCCUACAAAUUAUUCCAUUCUUCCACUCCUCGUACUUGUGCUUGAUCGAUCUACGUCUCACAUGUCCAAACUAUAUUAAUCCCAACUAAUGAUUGUUAUCAAUAGUAAGUGCUAUUUUAACGUUAUUGUGUA